This 747-nucleotide long non-coding RNA is filed under the name Olea europaea (common olive). Its description in RNAcentral is "long non-coding RNA (OEUR_LNC003802)". The record is from RNAcentral. Lineage: Eukaryota; Viridiplantae; Streptophyta; Magnoliopsida; Lamiales; Oleaceae.
AAAACUAAAUGGCUGCACAUAUGAUGACCUUCUUUGUUUGUGUCUGUUUAGGUUUUACGUGAAAGGAAGUUGAAUUUAAUUCAUAUGAAGUUAUUAUGAAAAGGUAUAUUUUUUCCAGUUCAUCAGUGUUCCUUCGCCGUCCUUAGCUUUCUGCACAAUAAUGGGUUACAAUCCAAUAUAUUGUUGGAGAUGUCAUUCCAAGAGUUAAUUUUCCAUUUGGAUCUUCAAUGUAGUUUUUAACACUAUCAAAAACCAAAACAUCGUUCUUUAAAUGAAAGACUCGAGAGUUUUCACCAACUAUGCUUCUAUAGAUGAAAUAAAAGCAAUUGCAAAUCUUACGAAGAAAAUUUGUAAAUGCUCAAAUCACAGCACCGUAAUUUCUUAAUCUAGAUUUUCAUUUCCCAUCAAUAUGUUAUAUAUUUCUACAAAGAAAAUAUUAAUUUCCACAAACUAGGCACUUACAUGUAUCCCACACAGAACACCAAUUAAAAGAAACCGAUAAAAGUGAAACAAAAUAAGGGGAAAAAAACUCACGGAAGAGGAGGAGGCCGGCGAGGGCACCGGUGAAGGAAGAAUAAACGAAUCGGCGGACGCCCAAAUCGAGACAGGCAUCCCACUUGGCAUUCAAAUCGUACCGUGGUGGAACCUUCGCUUUGUUUUCCUCGGCCAUUCUUUCACUUUUUUCGCUCUCUAGCUAUUUUCCUCUUCGUCUUUGUUUGAUUAUCUGAUUUUGGCUUUUGAAUUUUG